GCUUUCACUAUUCUCCGCCCAAAUUUGGCACCCAUGGAAGGAUUUGCUGCAUGGUGAUCCGCAUAACUUCCAUGAGAUAGUGGCCGUUUCUUCAAAAGGUAAAGGUAUUACCUUUUAUUCUGGUGAGUAUUUUUGACAGGAGGAUAAUCCAUGUUAGUAUCCACAAUCUUUUUCUGAUAAACCUUGCCCAUGAUUCCUCGCCACUGCUUCAGGCGUCGCCCAUAUGAGCCAGCUGAUCUUGGCCUUUGAACUGGUUGCCAUCCAUCAUCCCC
RNAcentral lists this unclassified non-coding RNA (272 nucleotides) under Hevea brasiliensis (rubber tree). The record is from RNAcentral. Lineage: Eukaryota; Viridiplantae; Streptophyta; Magnoliopsida; Malpighiales; Euphorbiaceae.